GACAGAGGCCUCGAGCGUUAGGCGGAAUCACUGGGCUUAAAGCGUGUGUAGGCGGACCUCUAAGUACCUUGUGAAAUCCCACGGCUCACCCGUGGAACCGCUGGGUAUACUGGGGGUCUUGGGCCAUUCAGGGGCGACUGGAACAAGCGGUGGAGCGGUGAAAUGCGUAGAUAUCGCUUGGAACGCCGACGGUGAAAACAGCUCGCUGGGGAUCUGCUGACGCUGAGACGCGAAAGCCAGGGGAGCAAACGGG
This 253-nucleotide ribosomal RNA is filed under the name uncultured bacterium. RNAcentral's name for it is "partial 16S ribosomal RNA". It matches the Rfam family "Bacterial small subunit ribosomal RNA", at positions 524 to 776 of the family's 1533-position model. The record is from RNAcentral.